GGGUUGCGGCGCGGUCUUUCCGGUCUCCGCUGCUGUGAGUUUAGAUGGUGCUUGGUUCUCCGGUGGGGCCGGAGUUCGGGCCACGUGGCCACCUACGCCGGGGCAUCGGGCAGAGAAAUGAGACCUCCCUGAGCCCCGGGACGCCCGCGGAGGCAGCGGCCUUCGGCCUGCGUCCCCUUCCUGGGAAACGAGAUGGAGAGCUUGCUUUUAGUGGUCAGGUAGCCUUAAAAGUAAGCGGAGAUGACUUUUCCGUGUAAGCCGGAAAGGCCUCACCGUGUUACUGGCCUUCUGCCUGCCCUACCCCGUUUGAGAUGCCGAGCAUAACGACUGUGUCCUGAUGCAGAGCUUGGCGGAAGUCGAGUAUCGGUGAAAGAUGGAUGAUGCUUGAAGCCAGCUGCUGUUAGCUCAUUGCCACCUGGGAGCACAAAAGUGACUUAGAAGGAUGACCGAGGAUUUGGAAAAUUGUAAUCUUCAAAUUGCUUUGGUCAUACAAUUUCCAGAAGCCUGAGGAGUGCUGAAAUAAUUGCCUGUGGACAACCCAUGAAUGUAAUUUUAAGACAAGAUAUAAAUAAAUACUUUAAUGUGCUUGA
Long non-coding RNA from Cavia porcellus (domestic guinea pig), 590 nucleotides. RefSeq lists it as uncharacterized. The transcript is spliced from 3 exons. The record is from RefSeq and is a predicted model, not a curated record. Lineage: Eukaryota; Metazoa; Chordata; Mammalia; Rodentia; Caviidae.